RNAcentral lists this long non-coding RNA (389 nucleotides) under Olea europaea (common olive). RNAcentral describes it as "long non-coding RNA (OEUR_LNC008167)". Lineage: Eukaryota; Viridiplantae; Streptophyta; Magnoliopsida; Lamiales; Oleaceae. The record is from RNAcentral.
CCAUCGGAGCUGAUUCUCGCCAUAACUGAUUCCGGGAUACAGCAUCCCAUCACCGGCCUCAAUGUCUAUGUUACCCUUCAUGUCAUCUACGCCGGAGUACCCAUUACUGAAUCUCUCCAUAACCGAUUCUUGAUUGUGUAAUUGGUUUUUUAAAGGUUAAACCCUAACCUUGGUCCCCACCACUCCUCUCCUGAAGUACGGCGAGGGAGGUAAAUCACGGGAUAUACCUCCAAGGAUACAGGGUGGAAGGCUACUUGUACACUUACACUUAUCCAAAAGUCAAAUUCAUAUUUCAGGAUUCGAACCUUUGUGUGAUAGGUUUUUUAUUCAUAGAAAUGCUCGACUCUCCUAAUUUUUUUUUUUUUUUUUUUUUUUUUUUUUUUAUGAAA